RNAcentral lists this long non-coding RNA (5410 nucleotides) under Salmo salar (Atlantic salmon). RNAcentral describes it as "lncRNA (ENSSSAG00000109293.1)". Lineage: Eukaryota; Metazoa; Chordata; Actinopteri; Salmoniformes; Salmonidae. The record is from RNAcentral.
UCACAAGUCAGAGAGAGAGAAACUGUUAAGAUGUUUUAUUUAAAAAGGAAAAAAAAUCUUACAACCUCAAACCUUUCCAGUGUCUUCACACCCAAAAUGGAACCCAAAAUGGAACCCUAUUAACAAGGACUCUGGUCAAAAGUAACACACUAUAAAAGGAAUAAGGUGCUAUUCCGGAAUACACACACUGUAUGCAUUGCAUUCACUUCCAUGGCAACUAAAGUAAAAAAAAAAGUAAAAAAACUAUUAUAUACAUCUCUAAAGAGUGACUUAAAUCAAAGUGAUUCUAUGGCUCGACGCAGUGAGACACUGUGUACACGUAAUAGGGUCCGGGUCAAAAAUAGUGCCCUACAUAAAGAGAAUAGGGUGCCAUUUGAGGGGAUGUACAAUCCUUUACAGCUAGACCUCCUGCUUUGCUUCAGCAGAGGAGGAGAGUAGAUACCUGAGUAGCUUUAGGUACGAUCACCCGCGUACGGCGUACCCAAACGGAUCACCCGCGUACAGCAUACCCAAACUGAUCACCCGCGUACAGUAUACCCAAACUGAAAACCCGCGUACAGUAUACCCAAACUGAUCACCCACGUACAGUAUACCCAAACUGAUCACCCGCGUACCCAAACUGAUCACCCGCGUACAGCAUACCCAAACUGAUCACCCGCGUACAGCAUACCCAAACUGAUCACCCGCGUACGGCAUACCCAAACUGAUCACCCGCGUACAGUAUACCCAAACUGAAAACCCGCGCACGGCAUACCCAAACGGAUCACCCGCGUACAGCAUACCCAAACGGAUCACCCGCGUACAGCAUACCCAAACGGAUCACCCACGUACAGUAUACCCAAACUGAUCACCCACGUACAGCAUACCCAAACUGAUCACCCCGCGCACGGCAUACCCAAACGGAUCACCCCGCGUACAGCAUACCCAAACUGAUCACCCCGCGUACAGCAUACCCAAACUGAUCACCCCGCGUACAGCAUACCCAAACUGAUCACCCCGCGUACAGCAUACCCAAACUGAUCACCCCGCGUACAGCAUACCCAAACGGAUCACCCCGCGUACAGCAUACCCAAACUGAUCACCCCACGUACAGCAUACCCAAUCUGAUCACCCCACAUACAGCAUACCCAAACUGAUCACCCCGCGUUCAGCAUAGCCAAACUGAUCACCCGCGUCCAGUAUACCCAAACGGAUCACCCGCGUACAGCAUACCCAAACUGAUCACCCGCGUCCAGUAUACCCAAACUGAUCACCCCGCGUACAGCAUACCCAAACUGAUCACCCCGCGUACAGCAUACCCAAACUGAUCACCCCACGUACAGCAUACCCAAACUGAUCACCCCACGUACAGCAUACCCAAACUGAUCACCCCACGUACAGCAUACCCAAACUGAUCACCCCGCGUACAGCAUACCCAAACUGAUCACCCCGCGUACAGCAUACCCAAACUGAUCACCCCGCGUACAGCAUACCCAAACUGAUCACCCCACGUACAGCAUACCCAAACUGAUCACCCCGCGUACAGCAUACCCAAACUGAUCACCCCGCGUACAGCAUACCCAAACUGAUCACCCCGCGUACAGCAUACCCAAACUGAUCACCCCGCGUACAGCAUACCCAAACUGAUCACCCCACGUACAGCAUACCCAAACGGAUCACCCCGCGUACAGCAUACCCAAACUGAUCACCCCGCGUACAGCAUACCCAAACUGAUCACCCCGCGUACAGCAUACCCAAACUGCAUAUGAUGGUCUCCCCUCCUGAAAUGAGACAACUAAUAACAUGAGAUGAAAAAAAAGUCUUACUCACAUAAAAUAUAUAUAUAUAUAUAUAAAAAGGCGUAUACAAAAUAUACAAGAGGGGGUAACAUUUGAAUGCAUGAUUUUCUUUUUAGAAAAUAUGAAGUGUGUACAAUGCAAGGUUAGUCAGAAUUAAGAAAGUGCUCAGUAUUUUGGCUGGGAACUCACAGCCUUUAUCCUGUCGGUAAUAAUAUAAACAAUAUUGUUUACCAAACGUGUUACAUUUAGUGGGGAGGGAACCUAGCUGUUAUUGGUAGAGAGGGUCAGUGGGGGAGGGAACCCAGCUGUUAUUGGUAGAGAGGUUCUGAGUGGGGGAGGGAACCUAGCUGUUAUUGGUAGAGGGGGUCUGAGUGGGGGAGGGAACCUUGCUGUUAUUGGUAGAGAGGGUCUGAGUGGGGGAGGGAACCUAGCUGUUAUUGGUAGAGAGGGUCUGAGUGGGGGAGGGAACCUAGCUGUUAUUGGUAGAGAGGGUCUGAGUGGGGGAGGGAACCUAGCUGUUAUUGGUAGAGAGGGUCUGAGUGGGGAGGGAACCUAGCUGUUAUUGGUAGAGAGGUUCUGAGUGGGGGAGGGAACCUAGCUGUUAUUGGUAGAGAGGGUCUGAGUGGGGGAGGGAACCUAGCUGUUAUUGGUAGAGAGGGUCUGAGUGGGGGAGGGAACCUAGCUGUUAUUGGUAGAGAGGUUCUGAGUGGGGGAGGGAACCUAGCUGUUAUUGGUAGAGAGGUUCUGUGGGGGAGGGAACCUAGCUGUUAUUGGUAGAGAGGGUCAGUGGGGGAGGGAACCUAGCUGUUAUUGGUAGAGAGGGUCUGAGUGGGGGAGGGAACCUAGCUGUUAUUGGUAGAGAGGGUCUGAGUGGGGGAGGGAAACUAGCUGUUAUUGGUAGAGAGGUUUGGAACUCCCAUUUCGGUCUAUUAACUAAAUUACAAGGCUAAACCUCCAUCAAAACAAAAACAGGCUGAUAUUUCAGGUGUUCUUUUCAAUCAGCUCUUACACUAAAAGGGCAUUAUCAGUAUUGUCACAAUAUUAAUCAAACCUCAGUGUGGAAAUAUAUACAAAACAAAGGAAAAUCUAGUUUUUGACUGCACUGGGCCUUUAAAAAGUAAUUCAUAUACAGUUCAGAGCUACAGAGUACUAUACAGUUCAGAGCUACAGAGUACUAUACAGUUCAGUACUACAGAGUACUAUACAGUUCAGUACUACAGAGUACUAUACAGUUCAGAUCAGUACUACAGAGUACUAUAUAGUUCAGAGCUACAGAGUACUAUACAGAUCAGUACUACAGAGUACUAUACAGUUGAGAGUACAAAUUAUGUACUACGGAUUAAGAGCCCUCUUCAAUCUGGAAAGCUGAAGAGAUUCCGCGGUAGUCUCCCGGUUGAGUCUACGACAUCUGCAGCGUUUACCGGGAGUGAAGUCUCCCGGUUUCAGCCUACGACAUCUGCAGCGUUUACCGGGAGUGAAGUCUCCCGGUUUCAGCCUACGACAUCUGCAGCGUUUACCGGGAGUGAAGUCUCCCGGUUUCAGCCUACUACAUGUGCAGCGUUUACCGGGAGUGAAGUCUUCCGGUUUCAGCCUACUACAUCUGCAGCGUUUAACAGCAGUGAAGUCUCCCGGUUUCAGCCUACUACAUGUGCAGCGUUUACCGGGAGUGAAGUCUCCCGGUUUCAGCCUACUACAUGUGCAGCGUUUAACAGCAGUGAAGUCUCCCGGUUUCAGCCUACUACAUGUGCAGCGUUUACCGGGAGUGAAGUCUUCCGGUAAAGCGGGAUCGUUGUGUUUAUAUUUCAAUCCCGCUGCAAAGCUGGACUUCGACGAUGCUGAUUGAAUAGAGCCUUUAAUAAGAAGGUAUUUGACCAGUUCUCUAACAGAAAGAGACAGGCAGUGAAUGGGAACAUGAUGGUUAUUAAAAUACUUAAGACUGUGGACAAGCGUUUUGAAUGAACCCGAGGAUGAGACGUUAUUGAAGUCGUAUAACACCUUGACAUAAAAGUCAGGAAAUAACAGUGGCACGCUAGCUACAGGUAACUGCCAAAACAAAGGAAAAACACAUGAGGAAAUGAGGGAUACAAAAAUAUAUUGAAAGCAGAUGCUUCAACACAGGUGUUGUAACCCAAAAUUAAUUAAGCAAUUAACAUCCCAUCAUGCUUAGGGUCAAGCAAAAAAAAAAAAAUAAUGCUGAGCAGGACAUUAUUUUGGUUACCACGACAACCCCCCCCCCCCCAUCCCCAUCCCCAUCCACAGGGCUUGAGAGGUCACCGAAUGGUUUAGUGAGCAUUUUACAAAAAAAACGAUAAAACCCAAAGACCACGACCAUCUCAGGUCACCAGAUCUCAACCCAAAUUGAACACUUACGGGAGAGUCUGGAGCGGUGCCUGAGAAAACGUUUUUCCCGCCGCCACCAUCAUCAUCAUCAUCAUCAUCAUCAUCAAAACACCAAAAUAAUGGAAUUUCUCGUGGAAGAAGAAUGGUGUCUCAUCCCUCCAAUAGAGUUCAAGACACUUGUAGAAUCUACCCUCGAGGUGCAUUGAAGCUGUUCUGGGUCGUGGUGACCCUAUUAACACCCAAUGUUAGUGUUUCCUUUUACUUUGGCAGUUACCUGGAUCUUCAGCUAGUAAAAUAUAUACUGUCGAACGCUAUAUAUAUGGGGGACGGAUGACAAUCAACCAAACUGAAGCUACGGGGGGGGAGGGGUCUGAAGAAAACAUUUAUCCAACCUAAUGAGUCUUCUGAUGGACCACAUGGGGGGGGGGGGGGAAUCAUAGUAGCCUUGUUCCGGUGGCCGUAAUCAUAAAACAGUAGGAGUGCUGAUCUAGGAAUCAGGGUCCCUCUUGUCCAUGUAGUCAAUGGGGUGGCAGGUAGCCUAGUGGUUAGAGCGUUGGGCCAGUAACCGAAAGGUUUCUGGAUCGAAUCCCCGAGCUGACGAGGUAAAAAAGAAAAUAAAAAUCUGUGGUUCUGCCCCCUGAACAAGGCAGUUAACCCACUGUUCCUCGGUAGGCCGUCGUUGUAAAUAACAAUUUGUUCUUAACCGACUUGCCUGGUAAAUUUUUUUUUUAAAUCCCCUAUGAUUCUUAAAGGCAAAACUGAUCCCCGAUCAGCACUUCUACUCUGUAAUGCAUUCUGUGCCGUCUUGCCAACUCCUACAGUCAUUGUCACGCCAGCACAAACAGAUAGAGCCCGAGUGCCAGUCUGUUUGUGACAACUUUUUGCCACGCAAGUUGGCAAAACAGCACAAACAGAACGAUAACAGUUAUUCUCUCCUCUCUACCACUGAGAGGAACACAAAGCCAAAACAAAAUUCACUCAGUAAAUUAAUUGUACAAAUAUAAAAUACAAUAUUAUCAUCAUCAACAACAACAAAAGUUAAAUCCAGGUAGACUAAUUAUUCCGAAGUCCUCCAGUCUGUUCCUGAUACACCUCGAUGACGUCCUCGUCUUCCAUCCCCAGCUACAGUAGAGACAGAGAGACAGAGAGAGACAGACAGAGAGAGACAGACAGACAGAGAGAGACAGAGAGAGAGACAGAGAGAGAGAGAGACAGAUAGAGAGACAGAGAGAGAGACAGAGAGAGAGACAGAGAGAGAGACAGAGAGAGAGAGACAGAGAGAGAGAGACAGA